This 768-nucleotide ribosomal RNA is filed under the name Bacillus siamensis. RNAcentral describes it as "bacterial SSU rRNA". It matches the Rfam family "Bacterial small subunit ribosomal RNA", at positions 71 to 823 of the family's 1533-position model. The record is from RNAcentral. Lineage: Bacteria; Bacillati; Bacillota; Bacilli; Caryophanales; Bacillaceae.
GAUGGGAGCUUGCUCCCUGAUGUUAGCGGCGGACGGGUGAGUAACACGUGGGUAACCUGCCUGUAAGACUGGGAUAACUCCGGGAAACCGGGGCUAAUACCGGAUGGUUGUCUGAACCGCAUGGUUCAGACAUAAAAGGUGGCUUCGGCUACCACUUACAGAUGGACCCGCGGCGCAUUAGCUAGUUGGUGAGGUAACGGCUCACCAAGGCGACGAUGCGUAGCCGACCUGAGAGGGUGAUCGGCCACACUGGGACUGAGACACGGCCCAGACUCCUACGGGAGGCAGCAGUAGGGAAUCUUCCGCAAUGGACGAAAGUCUGACGGAGCAACGCCGCGUGAGUGAUGAAGGUUUUCGGAUCGUAAAGCUCUGUUGUUAGGGAAGAACAAGUGCCGUUCAAAUAGGGCGGCACCUUGACGGUACCUAACCAGAAAGCCACGGCUAACUACGUGCCAGCAGCCGCGGUAAUACGUAGGUGGCAAGCGUUGUCCGGAAUUAUUGGGCGUAAAGGGCUCGCAGGCGGUUUCUUAAGUCUGAUGUGAAAGCCCCCGGCUCAACCGGGGAGGGUCAUUGGAAACUGGGGAACUUGAGUGCAGAAGAGGAGAGUGGAAUUCCACGUGUAGCGGUGAAAUGCGUAGAGAUGUGGAGGAACACCAGUGGCGAAGGCGACUCUCUGGUCUGUAACUGACGCUGAGGAGCGAAAGCGUGGGGAGCGAACAGGAUUAGAUACCCUGGUAGUCCACGCCGUAAACGAUGAGUGCUAGUGGU